This 253-nucleotide ribosomal RNA is filed under the name uncultured bacterium. RNAcentral describes it as "partial 16S ribosomal RNA". It matches the Rfam family "Bacterial small subunit ribosomal RNA", at positions 524 to 776 of the family's 1533-position model. The record is from RNAcentral.
UACAGAGGUCCCGAGCGUUGUUCGGAUUCACUGGGCGUAAAGGGUGCGUAGGUGGUGGGGUAAGUCUCGUGUGAAAGCUCGCAGCUUAACUGCGAAAAGUCACGGGAUACUAUUCCGCUAGAGGCUUGGAGGGGGGACUGGAAUACUUGGUGUAGCAGUGAAAUGCGUAGAUAUCAAGUGGAACACCAGUGGCGAAGGCGAGUCCCUGGACAAGAGCUGACACUGAGGCACGAAAGCCAGGGGAGCAAACAGG